GCNCUGUUUCGUAACUUCGGGAGAAGGGGUAAAGCACUGUUUCGUAACUUCGGGAGAAGGGGUAAAGCACUGUUUCGUAACUUCGGGAGAAGGGSUARAGCANCUGUUUCGGCCCCUAACUUCGGGAKAAGKGGWAAAGCACUGUKWSGUAACUUYGRAACAAGSGGNAGGUUNGNUUAGAAGCAGCUAUUUCCUUGAAAAGAGUGCGUAAUAGCUCACUGGUAAAGCGUUCUUGCGCCGACAAUGGCCGGGACUAANGCAGCCUGCCGAAGCUAUGGGAUUUGUAUAUUUCUUUUUCUCGCCAUUUCUGUCCCCUCCACCCUCUGGGGUAGAGGGCGGCGUGGAAUUACGAACUCCACCAUACCUUUGGGUAUGGUAGAGGAGAAGGAAAAGAGAAUUGAACGAAUCGGUAGGGGAGCGUUCUGCAUUGGGUGAAGCUGAAACGUAAGUUUUUGUGGACGAUGCGGAAGUGAGAAUGUCGGCUUGAGUAACGAAAACAUUGGUGAGAAUCCAAUGCCCCGAAAACCUAAGGGUUCCUCUACAAGGUUCGUCCGUGGGGGGUGAGUCNGGACGUNAGGCGAGGCCGAGCGGCGUANUCGAUGGAAAACNGGUURAUAUUCCUGURCWGAGUUUCNGUAACUUMGGGACGAAGAARGSUAAANNGGSWCUGUUUMKKAACUUCGGGAGAAGGSRUAAAGCACUGUUUCGNUAACUUCGGGAGAAGGGGUAAAGCACUGUUUCGUAACUUCGGGAGAAGGGGUAAAGCACUGUUUCGUAACUUCGGGAGAAGGGGUAAAGCACUGUUUCGUAACUUCGGGAGAAGGGGUAAAGCACUGUUUCGUAACUUCGGGAGAAGGGGUAAAGCACUGUUUCGUAACUUCGGGAGANAGGGGUAAAGCACU
RNAcentral lists this ribosomal RNA (902 nucleotides) under Tetraedron sp. BCH. RNAcentral's name for it is "partial large subunit ribosomal RNA". It matches the Rfam family "Bacterial large subunit ribosomal RNA", at positions 897 to 1757 of the family's 2925-position model. Lineage: Eukaryota; Viridiplantae; Chlorophyta; Chlorophyceae; Sphaeropleales; Sphaeropleaceae. The record is from RNAcentral.